GCGAGAGCUCGCUGGCAUUUUGUUUGCAGCAGGGCAGGCAGUGGGUGGUGUGACUUGUGGCGCUGCACUUGAGUUUAGUCAAAAGGCCGAGUUAAAUGAUGCUUCAGUUAAAUAUAUUCUGUAGCAUGAGUGCAGUAAUGCUUUACCUACAUUCUUUAACUGCGGGAACAUAGUGCAUGUGGGAUUAUCUUUGUAAGCUAAAUCCGGAGACCCAGCUCUUCCGAGAGGCGACACGUGGGGCCGUGCCGGGGGACAGGAGCUACCACGUGGCUCGCCGCUGGGAUGCCAGUCCACGGUUGCGGAAUUGAGUGAAUCCCCCGGCCUGGGCACAGGCGUGGUAGCGGCGCUCCAGACUGCAGGCGCGCAGGGUGUCGCUCCGGACCCCGGAGGCCGGUGUGGAGGAAGAGGCGGCCUAGCCGACGGGACUGGGCACAGAGGAACCAGCUCCUCCUGCUGAGGAAGGACAAAUCUGUUUGGAACCUGUUUAGCAGUGUCACCCGUUAUCUAAUAAACUGAAAACUGUGCCUUGGA
This is a long non-coding RNA of Lepisosteus oculatus (spotted gar), 531 nucleotides long. RefSeq lists it as uncharacterized. The record is from RefSeq and is a predicted model, not a curated record. Lineage: Eukaryota; Metazoa; Chordata; Actinopteri; Semionotiformes; Lepisosteidae.